RNAcentral lists this microRNA precursor (102 nucleotides) under Marmota monax (woodchuck). The record is from RNAcentral. Lineage: Eukaryota; Metazoa; Chordata; Mammalia; Rodentia; Sciuridae.
AGGGGAAUAGCUGGGUCAAAUGGUGGUUUCAUUCCUGCUUUUCAAGGAAUCUCCAUACUGCUUUCGAAAUUGACUGCACCAAUUUGCAGUCCCACCAGCAAU